AGGCAGCAGUAAGGAAUAUUGGUCAAUGGACGCAAGUCUGAACCAGCCAUGCCGCGUGAAGGAUGAAGGCCCUCUGGGUUGUAAACUUCUUUUAUCUGGGACGAAAAACGGGCUUUCUAGCUCACUUGACGGUACCAGAGGAAUAAGCACCGGCUAACUCCGUGCCAGCAGCCGCGGUAAUGCGGAGGGUGCAAGCGUUAUCCGGAUUUACUGGGUUUAAAGGGUGCGUAGGUGGGUAAGUAAGUCAGUGGUGAAAUCUCCGAGCUUAACUCGGAAACUGCCAUUGAUACUAUUUAUCUUGAAUUAUCUGGAGGUAAGCGGAAUAUGUCAUGUAGCGGUGAAAUGCUUAGAUAUGACAUAGAACACCGAUUGCGAAGGCAGCUUACUACGGAUAUAUUGACACUGAGGCACGAAAGCGUGGGGAUCAAACAGGAUUAGAUACCCUGGUAG
This 450-nucleotide ribosomal RNA is filed under the name uncultured bacterium. RNAcentral's name for it is "bacterial SSU rRNA". It matches the Rfam family "Bacterial small subunit ribosomal RNA", at positions 346 to 793 of the family's 1533-position model. The record is from RNAcentral.